RNAcentral lists this ribosomal RNA (341 nucleotides) under uncultured Chloroflexota bacterium. RNAcentral describes it as "bacterial SSU rRNA". It matches the Rfam family "Bacterial small subunit ribosomal RNA", at positions 1025 to 1382 of the family's 1533-position model. Lineage: Bacteria; Bacillati; Chloroflexota. The record is from RNAcentral.
GGAGCUAACACAGGUGCUGCAUGGCUGUCGUCAGCUCGUGCCGUGAGGUGUAUGGUUAAGUCCCACAACGAGCGCAACCCUCGUCGCUAGUUAAUUUCCCUAGCGAGACCGCCUCGCAAAACGAGGAGGAAGGCGGGGAUGGCGUCAAGUCAGCAUGGCCUUUAUACCCUGGGCGACACACACGCUACAAUGGGUGGUACAGUAGGUAGCGAAGGAGCGAUCCGGAGCAAAUCCUUAAAACCAUCCUCAGUACGGAUUGCAGGCUGAAACCCGCCUGCAUGAAGCCGGAGUUGCUAGUAACCGCAUAUCAGCAUGGUGCGGUGAAUACGUUCUCGGGCCUU